This 350-nucleotide unclassified non-coding RNA is filed under the name uncultured fungus. Its description in RNAcentral is "partial contains 5.8S ribosomal RNA and internal transcribed spacer 2". The stretch from base 1 to 133 matches the Rfam family "5.8S ribosomal RNA", at positions 22 to 154 of the family's 154-position model. The record is from RNAcentral. Lineage: Eukaryota; Fungi.
UGGUUCCGGCAUCGAUGAAGAACGCAGCGAAAUGCGAUAAGUAAUGCGAAUUGCAGAAUUCCGUGAGUCAUCGAAUCUUUGAACGCAUAUUGCGCCCUCUGGUAUUCCGGAGGGCAUGCCUGUUCGAGCGUCAGUACAACCAAAACAAGCUUCGCUUGGUAUUGGGCCUUCAAAUUCGCGGGAUCCUCUCGUGGGCCUGAAAGGUAGUGGCGGCCCCUGUUCGGCUUCAAGCGCAGUUGGAAAAACAAUCAAAAUCUUUCUCGCUUUGGAGGACCGAAUAGGGUAAAUUCUGCCUUAACAAAAUUGUAUAAUCUAAGGUGGACCUCGGAUCAGGUAGGAAUACCCGCUGA